This 67-nucleotide transfer RNA is filed under the name Anaerolineales bacterium. Its description in RNAcentral is "tRNA-OTHER". It matches the Rfam family "tRNA". Rfam says of the family: Transfer RNA (tRNA) molecules are approximately 80 nucleotides in length. Lineage: Bacteria; Bacillati; Chloroflexota; Anaerolineae; Anaerolineales. The record is from RNAcentral.
GGGCCUAUAGCUCAGCUGGGAGAGCGCUACAAUGGCAUUGUNNAGGGUUCGAGCCCCUUUAGGUCCA